RNAcentral lists this ribosomal RNA (367 nucleotides) under uncultured Methanosaeta sp. Its description in RNAcentral is "bacterial SSU rRNA". It matches the Rfam family "Archaeal small subunit ribosomal RNA", at positions 972 to 1338 of the family's 1478-position model. The record is from RNAcentral. Lineage: Archaea; Methanobacteriati; Methanobacteriota; Methanomicrobia; Methanotrichales; Methanotrichaceae.
UUGACUAGCUGAGAGGAGUGCAUGGCCGUCGUCAGUUCGUACUGUGAAGCAUCCUGUUAAGUCAGGCAACGAGCGAGACCCACGCCAACAGUUGCCAGCAUGUCCUCCGGGAUGAUGGGGACACUGUUGGGACCGCCUCUGCUAAAGAGGAGGAAGGAAUGGGGCAACGGUAGGUCAGCAUGCCCCGAAUUAUCCGGGCUACACGCGAGCUACAAUGGUUGGUACAAUGGGUAUCUACCCCGAAAGGGGACGGGAAUCUCCUAAAACCAAUCUUAGUUCGGAUUGAGGGCUGCAACUCGCCCUCAUGAAGCUGGAAUCCGUAGUAAUCGCGUUUCAACAGAACUCGGUGAAUACGUCCCUGCUCCUU